AUACGUAGGGGGCGAGCGUUGUCCGGAAUGAUUGGGCGUAAAGGGCGCGUAGGCGGCGCGGUAAGUCUGGAGUGAAAGUCCCGCAUUCAAUGUGGGAAUUGCUUUGGAUACUGCAGUGCUAGAGUGCGGAAGAGGUAAGUGGAAUUCCCAGUGUAGCGGUGAAAUGCGUAGAGAUUGGGAGGAACACCAGUGGCGAAGGCGACUUACUGGGCCGUAACUGACGCUGAGGCGCGAAAGCGUGGGGAGCGAACAGGAUUAGAUACCCUGGUAGUCCACGCGGUAAACGAUGAAUGCUAGGUGUUGCGGGUAUCGACCCCUGCAGUGCCGGAGUAAACACAAUAAGCAUUCCGCCUGGGGAGUACGGCCGCAAGGUUGAAACUCAAAGGAAUUGACGGGG
RNAcentral lists this ribosomal RNA (397 nucleotides) under uncultured bacterium. RNAcentral's name for it is "partial 16S ribosomal RNA". It matches the Rfam family "Bacterial small subunit ribosomal RNA", at positions 523 to 918 of the family's 1533-position model. The record is from RNAcentral.